This 482-nucleotide long non-coding RNA is filed under the name Pan troglodytes (chimpanzee). Its description in RNAcentral is "long non-coding RNA NONPTRT014748". The record is from RNAcentral. Lineage: Eukaryota; Metazoa; Chordata; Mammalia; Primates; Hominidae.
AGGGUAACCAACGCUCCCUCUUAAAGGCGCCGGCCCCGGUUUUAGACCGGGAGAGGGAAGACCUACAUCUCCAGUCUUAACAUCCAACCUCCUUAGCAGUUAGUCGCAUCAGAAAGAAAGCAAGCUGAAGAAUGUCUCACCAGACCCACGUGGAUCCUGCGUUCAUCUCUGAACUAACCAUUGUAACUAUGGGAUGGAAUGCACACUGCCAGGCUGGGGUUAUUUGCCUUUAUCUACAAAAAGGUCAAGGGAAAUAAUUUCUCAGGAUCAGAAGAAUGAGAAUGCUGAUGGGUCAUGGAGGUGCUAGUAAUUGAGCCAACCAGCCACAUCCUUUGGCCUCGGAGCCACUGAGAAGAUCCUGAGUGACAUUUGUGACAUUUCACAAACCACCUGCAAACAAACAAUAUAUAAACCAUGAUUGUAUUCAAUUAUUUUUUCCCUAAAUUAUAAACCUGCCUCCAUGUACCUCAAGCCCACAUUCA